AAGGUUGGCUAAUCCUGGUCGGACAUCAGGAGGUUAGUGCAAUGGCAUAAGCCAGCUUGACUGCGAGCGUGACGGCGCGAGCAGGUGCGAAAGCAGGUCAUAGUGAUCCGGUGGUUCUGAAUGGAAGGGCCAUCGCUCAACGGAUAAAAGGUACUCCGGGGAUAACAGGCUGAUACCGCCCAAGAGUUCAUAUCGACGGCGGUGUUUGGCACCUCGAUGUCGGCUCAUCACAUCCUGGGGCUGAAGUAGGUCCCAAGGGUAUGGCUGUUCGCCAUUUAAAGUGGUACGCGAGCUGGGUUUAGAACGUCGUGAGACAGUUCGGUCCCUAUCUGCCGUGGGCGCUGGAGAACUGAGGGGGGCUGCUCCUAGUACGAGAGGACCGGAGUGGACGCAUCACUGGUGUUCGGGUUGUCAUGCCAAUGGCACUGCCCGGUAGCUAAAUGCGGAAGAGAUAAGUGCUGAAAGCAUCUAAGCACGAAACUUGCCCCGAGAUGAGUUCUCCCUGAGACUUAGAGUCUCCUGAAGGAACGUUGAAGACGACGACGUUGAUAGGCCGGGUGUGUAAGCGCAGCGAUGCGUUGAGCUAACCGGUACUAAUGAACCGUGAGGCUUAACCUUACAACGCCGAAG
This 630-nucleotide ribosomal RNA is filed under the name Salmonella enterica subsp. enterica. Its description in RNAcentral is "partial 23S ribosomal RNA". It matches the Rfam family "Bacterial large subunit ribosomal RNA", at positions 2313 to 2925 of the family's 2925-position model. The record is from RNAcentral. Lineage: Bacteria; Pseudomonadati; Pseudomonadota; Gammaproteobacteria; Enterobacterales; Enterobacteriaceae.